UCGAAACCUGCCCAGCAGAGCGACCCGUGAACAUGUUCAACCUCGUGGGGGCUGGGGCGUUGCUCGGUGCCCCGUGCGCCAGCUCGCCCCUCCCCCAGGCCGGGGGAGCGCUCACUUGUGGGCUCUCUCCCCGGCUAACCAACGAAACCCCGGCGCUUAAACGCGUCAAGGAAUAUUAACUUUAUGUGUGUGCUCUCCUGUCGCCCGGUUAGCCGGGCGUUGGAGCGGUGCCAUGUCUUAACAAUAAACGACUCUCGGCAACGGAUAUCUCGGCUCUCGCAUCGAUGAAGAACGUAGCGAAAUGCGAUACUUGGUGUGAAUUGCAGAAUCCCGUGAACCAUCGAGUUUUUGAACGCAAGUUGCGCCCGAAGCUUCUGCUGAGGGCACGUCUGCCUGGGCGUCACGCAUCGCGUCUCCCCCAAAAUCCACCCUCGGUGGAGGGGAAGGAGGAUGGUUUCCCGCGACUCACCGGUCGCGGCUGGCCUUAAAAUCGGAGCCCUCGGCAUCGGCAUGCCGCGGCGAUAGGUGGUGAACAAGGCCUCGGCCGAGCAAGCAACCCGUCGCGUAUACCGUGCAAGUGUGGGCUCGUCGGACCCUUUGCUGUUGCCUCUUAUGGCGACCAAACCGUU
This 629-nucleotide ribosomal RNA is filed under the name Silene portensis. RNAcentral describes it as "eukaryotic LSU rRNA". The stretch from base 250 to 403 matches the Rfam family "5.8S ribosomal RNA". Lineage: Eukaryota; Viridiplantae; Streptophyta; Magnoliopsida; Caryophyllales; Caryophyllaceae. The record is from RNAcentral.